UUAACUCAUAUUUGUAUGGAAUGGGAUCGUUUGCGUGCGUUUGCCGCUAGGGGGCGCUGUUCCAACUGCAUACAAAAUUGGAUUA
Molecule: microRNA precursor, 85 nt
Filed under: Bombyx mori (domestic silkworm)
Lineage: Eukaryota; Metazoa; Arthropoda; Insecta; Lepidoptera; Bombycidae
Description: mir-2807 microRNA precursor family
Rfam family: mir-2807 microRNA precursor family
Source: Rfam by way of RNAcentral